AUACGGAGGGCGCGAACGUUGCUCGGAAUCAUUGGGCGUAAAGCGCACGUAGGCGGCCUGAUAAGUCGGAUGUGAAAGCCCACGGCUCAACCGUGGAAGUGCAUUCGAAACUGUCAGGCUUGAGUAUGGGAGAGGGUUGCGGAAUUCCCGGUGUAGAGGUGAAAUUCGCAGAUAUCAGGAGGAACACCAGCGGCGAAGGCGGCAGCCUGGACCAAUACUGACGCUGAGGUGCGAAAGCGUGGGGAGCAAACAGGAUUAGAUACCCCAGUAGUCC
Molecule: ribosomal RNA, 274 nt
Filed under: uncultured bacterium
Lineage: Bacteria
Description: partial 16S ribosomal RNA
Rfam family: Bacterial small subunit ribosomal RNA
Source: RNAcentral